AGUGAACGCUGGCGGUAGGCCUAACACAUGCAAGUCGAACGGCAGCACAGUAAGAGCUUGCUCUUACGGGUGGCGAGUGGCGGACGGGCGAGGAAUACAUCGGAAUCUACUUUUUCGUGGGGGAUAACGUAGGGAAACUUACGCUAAUACCGCAUACGACCUACGGGUGAAAGCAGGGGAUCUUCGGACCUUGCGCGAUUGAAUGAGCCGAUGUCGGAUUAGCUAGUUGGCGGGGUAAAGGCCCACCAAGGCGACGAUCCGUAGCUGGUCUGAGAGGAUGAUCAGCCACACUGGAACUGAGACACGGUCCAGACUCCUACGGGAGGCAGCAGUGGGGAAUAUUGGACAAUGGGCGCAAGCCUGAUCCAGCCAUACCGCGGGGGUGAAGAAGGCCUUCGGGUUGUAAAGCCCUUUUGUUGGGAAAGAAAAGCAGCAGGUUAAUACCCCGCUGUUCUGACGGUACCCAAAGAAUAAGCACCGGCUAACUUUGUG
RNAcentral lists this ribosomal RNA (492 nucleotides) under uncultured bacterium. RNAcentral describes it as "partial 16S ribosomal RNA". It matches the Rfam family "Bacterial small subunit ribosomal RNA", at positions 29 to 507 of the family's 1533-position model. The record is from RNAcentral.